GUUAUUUUCAGAUGAGCGACGAGAACACUGAGACCUUUUUACGGGUCUUCGCUGCCUGGGAACACUACACACCAGUCUCGGAUAUUAAUCUUCGUCCCUCUCUGAGACGCCGUACGAAUUGCAAGUGGUUAAUUAUUAAAUGGCUGCCAGAACUCACCGCGUAAAGAACUGGGAUUACACGAGCUUCAACCACCACCACACCACCACCAUCACCCACCACCACCGUCGCCACCAACAACAUUUAACAACUAAGUAUUUAAAUGUAUGUCAGUGUAACACCCACUCGUCCGCUCAGAGUAUUUCAGGCUUCGGACAGUGUUACGUUAAUAUGUUACAAGAUAAAGUGUACAGACGCAGGAUGUAGAGAAUGUUGUUUAUAUGCCAUUAAAUAUCACGGAAACCUCA
Molecule: long non-coding RNA, 405 nt
Organism: Scylla paramamosain (green mud crab)
Lineage: Eukaryota; Metazoa; Arthropoda; Malacostraca; Decapoda; Portunidae
Exons: 3
Source: RefSeq, a predicted model, not a curated record